Molecule: ribosomal RNA, 253 nt
Filed under: uncultured bacterium
Lineage: Bacteria
Description: partial 16S ribosomal RNA
Rfam family: Bacterial small subunit ribosomal RNA
Source: RNAcentral
UACGGAGGGGGCUAGCGUUGUUCGGAAUUACUGGGCGUAAAGCGUGCGCAGGCGGUUUUGUAAGUCUGUCGUGAAAUCCCCGGGCUCAACCUGGGAAUUGCGAUGGAGACUGCAAGGCUAGAAUCUGGCAGAGGGGGGUAGAAUUCCACGUGUAGCAGUGAAAUGCGUAGAGAUGUGGAGGAACACCGAUGGCGAAGGCAGCCCCCUGGGAUAACACUGACGCUCAUGCACGAAAGCGUGGGGAGCAAACAGG